RNAcentral lists this long non-coding RNA (900 nucleotides) under Brachypodium distachyon (stiff brome). RNAcentral's name for it is "long non-coding RNA (BDIS_LNC001107)". The record is from RNAcentral. Lineage: Eukaryota; Viridiplantae; Streptophyta; Magnoliopsida; Poales; Poaceae.
UUCCGAAUUUUAUGGCAAAAUUACAGUUGAAUAUUGUAUUAACCACCCUAAAAACAAUUACUCCAGCUUCAUCUCCUUUUCUGCCUUCUAUAUCAUCGCUUCCUCUUCAGUUUCGUCAGGUAACCACUCCUUCAGUAUGCAUGCAUGGCAAAUCCACAUGUCCAGGCCUGAAGCUUCUGAAAUCUUCCUUUAUAGAAUUCACUUGGUUUUGGCCCUGCAUACAGAAUGUGCACUUACAGCAAUCAGAUAAAGACUUCAUUAAUGGGAAAUGAUCUGUUCAGGAACUCUGCUUCUUCUGUUUACCAUAUUUAGUUCCAAGGCUCUAUGUACUUUGCUCCUCAUAAUGAAAUCUGGCGCCCUGCAGUUCCAGCAAAGAGUAAAUUUCAUGCCUGGAUCAUGGUUCAGGGCUUGCCUUACAGCCGACAACAUUGCGAAGCAGGGGUCACUGCUUCAUGUCAUUUACAAGUUCUAGAACCACUCCCUCUUCUCAUUGGAAUUCUUGAAUCCUGGAGGAUUGAUUGCCUCCAUGGCAUGCUUUCAGCAACGAAGUAAAUGCUACUAAAAGUGACACAAGUAUUGUGUGAAGAACUGAAGAUGUGUCCUUAAAGAAAUUUGGUUACCUGUGAUAAUGACCAUGAUGUAGUAGAUAGCUAUUCUCAACUACGGAAACAUGUUCAUGUGAGAUUGUAGAUCUACCGAACAAGUAUUUAAUCUAUUAGCCCUAUUCUUGUAGCAAUCGAACAAUUGAACUAUGAGUUUUUUUAGAUGGUUAUUGCCUUACUCUCAGCUCAUAGGUUCCGUUGCUUGGCAGGGCAAUGGCAACUUUGGAAGAAAGGAUGGGCUCCAACUGGGCAUCGCUGCAUGUUGAUAUGCUCGAGCUGAUCGCCGACCGGGUUCUCG